CACGUUUCAUUUAGCCUUUGAAGCGUCUUAAGGCAAAAGUGGGAGCUCCACCAUGUGUGUAUGUGGUGAGAAAGCUUGACCUUGGGACCUUCACUUAUUUGCUUUCAGAGUACUGUGAUUGAUGUUUUGUAGGUUACUUGCACCACAUUAAUUGCAUCUAUGAAUUAUUAUAUCUACUUGAACUAACCCUUACAAGAUGAACAAGUGGAUUAGGCAGAUUCCUACGAAGAAACUGUUUGAAGACUAAACUGAAUGCAAGCAAGAGCAAACCACAAGAAAGCAACAGAGCCGCUGCCACUUCUCCUACUAGACAAAUGCUUCGUCAGUCGCUUAAGAGCAAAACAAAUAUAGAAAAGCAAGGCCUGAGGUCAUGCUAUGCAAACCAACCCCUGGGAUCCAUCUGGUCCAACAACCUCAGCUCAUUGAGAAAAGGUAUAGCUGGCCUGCAAAGGUAAGCUGUCUGACUAUUGAGAAAGCAAUAGGUUAUAUUCUGUUUACACUAGUCCUUAGGAAGCAAAUAUUGAAAUAAAAAUGUUCUGAUAUCAGCCGCUGUAUUUCCAUAUGAGCUAAAGGACACUAAGUUUUUAUAGGGCAUGAAAUAUUUAAUUCUGUAUUCUUUUCCCUCAGAAUCUCAACAUUAGUGUUUAAGUAAAGGUAAGCACUAAUAAUGUGAAAUUAAAAAGAUACUACCAUUGGGUCUCAAGACAUCAUUCUGAAAUAAGAAAAAGAAAUGUGAUAUAAUUUUAAGAGAAAUGCAACUAAAAUAUUUAUUUCAAACCUAUAAAGGCUGCUGAUUAGACACCCCAAUAUUUUUUUCGAUCACUAACUGGGUCUUCCUUGCAAGGCUCCAGGAAGACACCAACGAAUCCACGGCACAUUGCGAAGUCAUCACUAGUUAUGAAAUAGACUCUACUCUAUUGAUUGUAUUACAGUUUGUAACCUAUUGUAUUAAAACUACUUUAGUAAGUGG
RNAcentral lists this long non-coding RNA (970 nucleotides) under Equus caballus (horse). RNAcentral describes it as "lncRNA (ENSECAG00000040544.3)". The record is from RNAcentral. Lineage: Eukaryota; Metazoa; Chordata; Mammalia; Perissodactyla; Equidae.